This 83-nucleotide transfer RNA is filed under the name Canis lupus familiaris (dog). It matches the Rfam family "tRNA". From Rfam's summary of the family: Transfer RNA (tRNA) molecules are approximately 80 nucleotides in length. Their secondary structure includes four short double-helical elements and three loops (D, anti-codon, and T loops). The record is from Rfam by way of RNAcentral. RNAcentral also lists the same sequence under 1 other name. Lineage: Eukaryota; Metazoa; Chordata; Mammalia; Carnivora; Canidae.
GCCUGGGUGGCUCAGUGGUUGAGCAUCUGCCUUCAGCUCAGGUCGUGAUCUCGGAGACUCGGGAUCAAGUCCUGCAUCAGGCU